GUGGAAGGGGCAUGCAGAGGAGUGGAAAUGAUCAGAUGAUGAUUCCUGGGCCUUCUUUAACUCCUGUGCUUGCCUCUUCCACC
Molecule: microRNA precursor, 83 nt
Filed under: Ananas comosus (pineapple)
Lineage: Eukaryota; Viridiplantae; Streptophyta; Magnoliopsida; Poales; Bromeliaceae
Description: MIR528 microRNA precursor family
Rfam family: MIR528 microRNA precursor family
Source: Rfam by way of RNAcentral